GGGCCCGCACAAGCGGUGGAGCAUGUGGUUUAAUUCGAUGAUACGCGAGGAACCUUACCAGGGCUUAAAUGUAGUGGGACAGGUCUAGAGAUAGACCCUUCUUCGGACUCAUUACAAGGUGCUGCAUGGUUGUCGUCAGCUCGUGCCGUGAGGUGUCAGGUUAAGUCCUAUAACGAGCGCAACCCCUAUCGUUAGUUGCCAGCGGGUAAUGCCGGGAACUCUGACGAAACUGCCAGUGCAAACUGUGAGGAAGGUGGGGAUGACGUCAAAUCAUCACGGCCCUUACGUCCUGGCUACACACGUGCUACAAUGGCCGGUACAGAGAGCAGCCACUUCGCAAGAAGGAGACGAA
This 352-nucleotide ribosomal RNA is filed under the name uncultured bacterium. RNAcentral's name for it is "bacterial SSU rRNA". It matches the Rfam family "Bacterial small subunit ribosomal RNA", at positions 917 to 1271 of the family's 1533-position model. The record is from RNAcentral.